Molecule: small RNA, 50 nt
Filed under: Sinorhizobium meliloti 2011
Lineage: Bacteria; Pseudomonadati; Pseudomonadota; Alphaproteobacteria; Hyphomicrobiales; Rhizobiaceae
Description: putative ncRNA
Source: RNAcentral
GUAGGCAAUGAUCUUGUUCGCCUUGCCGCGCCUGAGCGCAUGGAUGACUU